AGUGAACGCUGGCGGCGUGCUUAACACAUGCAAGUCGAACGGGAACGGAAUAUAGCUUGCUAUAUUUGUCAGCUAAGUGGCGCACGGGUGAGUAAUGUAUAGAUAACCUGCCCUUAAGAAAGGAAUAACAGUUGGAAACGACUGCUAAUGCCCUAUAUGCCUUUAAUACAUAAGUAUGCAAGGGAAACGCUUUAGUGCUUAAGGAUGGGUCUGUAUGGUAUCAGCCUGUUGGUGAGGUAAUGGCUCACCAAGGCUAUGACGCCUAACUGGUUUGAGAGGAUGAUCAGUCACACUGGAACUGGGACACGGUCCAGACCCCUACGGGAGGCAGCAGUGGGGAAUAUUGCACAAUGGACGAAAGUCUGAUGCAGCAACGCCGCGUGGAGGAUGACACAUUUCGGUGCGUAAACUCCUUUUAUAUAGGAAGAUAAUGACGGUACUAUAUGAAUAAGCACCGGCUAACUCCGUGCCAGCAGCCGCCGUAA
Molecule: ribosomal RNA, 485 nt
Filed under: uncultured bacterium
Lineage: Bacteria
Description: partial 16S ribosomal RNA
Rfam family: Bacterial small subunit ribosomal RNA
Source: RNAcentral